RNAcentral lists this ribosomal RNA (433 nucleotides) under uncultured bacterium. RNAcentral's name for it is "partial 16S ribosomal RNA". It matches the Rfam family "Bacterial small subunit ribosomal RNA", at positions 29 to 507 of the family's 1533-position model. The record is from RNAcentral.
AACGAACGCUGGCGGCAUGCCUAACACAUGCAAGUCGAACGAGACCUUCGGGUCUAGUGGCGCACGGGUGCGUAACGCGUGGGAACCUUCCCUUAGGUUCGGAAUAACUCCCCGAAAGGGGUGCUAAUACCGGAUAAUGUCUUCGAACCAAAGAUUUAUCGCCUUUGGAUGGGCCCGCGUUGGAUUAGCUAGUUGGUAGGGUAAAAGCCUACCAAGGCGACGAUCCAUAGCUGGUCUGAGAGGAUGAUCAGCCACACUGGGACUGGGACGCGGCCGAGACUCCUACGGGAGGCAGCAGUGGGGAAUAUUGGACAAUGGGCGAAAGCAUGAACCAGCAAUGCCGCGUGAGUGAUGAAGGCCUUAGGGUUGUAAAGCUCUUUUACCCGGGAUGAUAAUGACGGUACCGGAAGAAUAAGCUCCGGCUAACUCCGUG